RNAcentral lists this ribosomal RNA (923 nucleotides) under uncultured soil bacterium. Its description in RNAcentral is "SSU rRNA". It matches the Rfam family "Bacterial small subunit ribosomal RNA", at positions 1 to 934 of the family's 1533-position model. The record is from RNAcentral.
GAGUUGUAUCUCACGAUUCGCCCUUAGAGUUUGAUCCUGGCUCAGGAUAAACGCUGGCGGCGUGCCUCACACAUGCAAGUCGAACGCGCUCGGGGAAACCCGAGGGAGUGGCGGACGGGUGAGUAACACGUGGGUACCUACCCUGUGGUGAGGAAUACCGGCGAGAAAUCGCCGACAAUGCCGCAUAGGUUUCCUUAACAGGAAACAAAGCUCGGCAACGGGCGCCAUGGGAAGGGCCUGCGGCCGAUUAGCUGGUUGGUAGGGUAAAAGCCUACCAAGGCGACGAUCGGUAGCUGGUCUGAGAGGAUGGUCAUCCACACUGGGAUUGAGAACGGCCCAGACUCCUACGGGGGGCAGCAGUGAGGAAUUUUCCUCAAUGGGGGCAACCCUGAACGAGCAACGCCGCGUGCAGGAAGACGGCCUUCGGGUUGUAAACUGCUUUUCUCUGGCACGAGAACGGACGGUACCAGAGGAAUCAGCCCCGGCUAACUACGUGCCAGCAUCCGCGAUAAUACGUAUGGGGCAAGCGUUGUGCGGAGUUACUGGGCGUAAAGCGCGCGCUGGCGGUCUGCCAAGUUCGGAGUGACAGUUUCCGGCUUAACUGGGAAAGGUCUUCGAAAACUGGUGGACUUGAGGACUUGACGGGGAGACCGAACUCAGCGUGGAGCGGUGUAAUGCGUAGAGAUCCGGAGGAACACCCUAGGACGAAUGCGGGCUCCUGUCAAGUUCCUGACUCUCGGGUGCGACAGCUACGGGAGCGAACAGGAGUUGAUACCCCCGUAAUCCUAAUCGUCAACAAUGACCACUAGGCAUGGGGAGGAUCGACCCCCUCCGUGCCGCAGCUAACGCAUUAAGCAUUCUGUCUGGGGAGUACUGUUCCAGAGUGACACUCAUAGCAUUUACGGGUACCCGCCCCAGCCAGC